UCCUAUACUAAUGGUGGUCUUCGAGCACAGUGGUUUGCAUUCAAGGUGUUUGUAAAAAUGCCUCAUACAAAUAGAAUUGAGGCUAGAGAUUACAAUCAUAUAAGGAGCCACUAUUUCAACGUAAAACUUUGUGAAUGUAAUCACACAAUUUGGUAGGGGAACCACAUCUUUCUUUAGUUGGGUUCAAACUUCGAUUUCACAAUUGAAUCAUUUGUUUAAAGAAGCUUUUGUCCCCAAUCUUGGUUGUUGGGUUAGAAAGUAAAAGUGACUGCCGUCACAAGAAAGUGAAAAUUCUUUGGCAAUGCGCGUCAUUGUUGAACCCACAUUGAUUGGGAAUAUACAAAUCACAACACAUGAUCGAUAACUAAAUCAGCUCCAUCCCCUGCAUUUUUUCAGUUGAUUUUCCGAAGGCAAUGUUUUCUAGGUGUUGAGAACACAAUGUAGAGUUUUGCUUCUUCUUUUUUUCAUAUCGCUUGGCUGAAUGCUUAUUUUCCCCUACUUUAUUUUCUAGGUAGUAGGGGCGCCGAGGUUCCAACUUCGAUUCAGGAAUUGUGUUUCCCUUCUAUUUUUUUCAUACGGCUUGGCUGAAUGAUUUUUUUCCCUUGCUUUCUUUUCUAGGUAGUAGGGGCGCCGAGGUUCCAACGUCAAUUCAGGAAUUGUGUUUCCCUUCUUUUUUCUAGGUAGUAGGUGGCUCAUUCAGUGAAGGUCUAAUUGUCAUUCCGAUUUUGGUUUAUUGACUUUGAAAAUCUUUUGUUUUCCAAAAUUGCAAGUUGCAGGUUAAUAGUGAUCUCUAGAUGAAUUCUUGGAUGGUCUACUUGCGAUUCUUUGGAUUUCAAGGUUUACAAAAGAGAAGUCUUAUAGUGAAAAUUAUGAGUAGAAUCAUACCUUUAUCGUUAGAGCCAAAGAAUUCAUUACCUUUGUUUAAUUUGUCUUUACUUGAGUUAAGCUUUCACAAAUAAGCUUGACCAUUAUGAGUUGACCGUAGAAGUUGAAGUUUAGGUUAAAAAAUUUCUUACCUGCUGGUGUCAAUUUUAAAUCAUAGAGACAUACUACUGCAAUGUUAUUUGGAAGUAUGGGUAGCUUUGAGGCAUGGAUGGAUAAAAGAAUUGUGCAGUGAGGGUCUCCCAACGGUGAGUUCAUCCGGAUCCAAGCAAGUCGAAGCCCAGCAAAAAGGAACUGAGCUUGCUCAGUCUAAACUUAGGUUGGCCCUGCUUCAAUAUGAACUUCCUUCAAUGAUCUUUGCACGCUGAUGCACCUCAUGGAAAAUGCUUCUGGUGAAGAUGAAUAUAAUGAAGAAAGAAGGGAGUACAAAAUCGUGUUCUUGAGGUGCCUCAAUAUUAAUUUUGUUCUUCAGUUACGAGGUUGGAUUAAUAUUUUGAUACAUAGCAUUUCAUUAGGAAGGUUUACUCCAUUAAUUGAAGUGUUUAAUUUUAUAUGUUUGCUUUGUUCCUCUUGGAGUAGACCUCUGUUGUUUGUUGUAGAAUUUUGCGGUGUUUGUUUUGAAAGUUGCAUGUAUUUUUACUUCACUAAAUAUUAGAUGGCAGAAUGCAAAAGACAGUAACUUUUAGAUUGUGAACUCCUAUAGUUUAUCACACGUUGCUAAGGACUCCUGAAGCCCUUUUUUUUUUAA
Molecule: long non-coding RNA, 1630 nt
Organism: Rhododendron vialii
Lineage: Eukaryota; Viridiplantae; Streptophyta; Magnoliopsida; Ericales; Ericaceae
Exons: 2
Source: RefSeq, a predicted model, not a curated record